CACCCGAUGACUGAAAAAUAAGUAUAGGUCUUUUAAACCUACUAUAGUACUCGCCUACUUCUGGUGACCA
RNAcentral lists this transfer RNA (70 nucleotides) under Neilupotamon papilionaceum. RNAcentral's name for it is "tRNA-Lys". The record is from RNAcentral. Lineage: Eukaryota; Metazoa; Arthropoda; Malacostraca; Decapoda; Potamidae.